CCGGGUUGGAGCGUCCUCUUUCUCCUAUAGAAUCAUCGGGUGCAGCGUCGCGGCCAGUGCUGCUUUUGGUUACGCGUGGCAGAAGUCUCGUGCUGGGUGAUAAAGUUUUCCUCCUGCUGCAAAGCGAAGCAACAUUUUCCACCUCUCGGCUCCUCCCACAGAUUCCCAGAGUGUCUCUGUUUAGGUCCAACCCCCGGAAACACACCCGCAGCCCAACCACGCCACGAUUGAAACCCCGGGUCGAAGUGGCUCGGAUGACCGCACUCGCUUCGCGCAACGCUGCCGCCCUGCUGCCUGUGGACCCUCAUUCCUGUUCAGAGUGGCCCGUGGCGGGGUGAGUACAGGCUUUUCUCCACGACUUGGUUCUUUUCAAAUUCAUCAAAGAUUGCGCAGCAAACCUUGAUCUUCUGCAAAGGCGCUCUCAUCUCUGUAAAUGCUGAAGUCCCAAGACCACAGGAGGAAAUGGGUGCGUCGGAGCCUGAAAGCAGGGCGAACACGCCACGUGCUCCCGGAUCUUCAGAGCCACUGGCUGCAGAUCUGCCACUGAGGGCUGCUCAGGGCCCUGUUGUACCUCCCGGGCAGCACGACCUUGGCUUCUGGUCUGAGAGAGGGGCAUGCUCCCGCUCCUGCUUAGAAUUGAAGACCGGAUGAGCCCAAAGAUUACUCCAUCACUCUGAAGCUAACGUCAGCCCAUCUGCUCCCAUCUGUAAACAGUAAUAUACAGACAUUACUGUAUAUUACAUCUGCAGAGUAAACGUGACAGGGGUCGCUUUGACGAAGACAUGAUGAGGGUGGUGAUGGUAAGGAGGUGGUAGCCUUUACUCCUCUUCCUGCCCCUCUUCCUGCUCUCCCACUGUAGAGGAUGUGGUUACCACUUUAAGACCAUGAUUUAGUAAAGGACCUAUCCGUCCCAUCAGAAACAACCUGGGUUUAGUUAUCGCCUGGGUUUUCAUGUUACCAGCCUAGUUCCUGCAAAUUAGGUAAAACCCUACGGUUGUGGGGCAGAGGGGCCAGGUUCCUUGGUUCAUUUACAUCCCGCUGCCACACUUUCAAACCAAGAACGAAGUCACCUCCUCCCCAGAGCCCCCCAACCAGUAUCCCUGAGCAGCUUCUGGAGAGUCCUCUGAAGGAAACUGCCUAGGAUCAAAACUCAAGCCCGGUGUUGCCACCCUCCUCCCCAACCUGGCUCCUCACUAAAGAGUCCCCAGAGACCCCCAAGACAUCAUUCUACUGAGUGUUCAGAUUGAUUCUUAGAAGCAGAAGUGAGGAGUUUGUAGGGGUGCAGUAUCAAUGUCCAAGGAGGCCACCCUGAGCCCUAAAAAAAAAAUCACUCCAGCAUUGUCAACUGUCAAGUGUUCUCUCUCUGUAGUUUGAGACGUUCAUCUCUUCAUGAUGGUGCCAGGGUGAUGAGGAAGCUGUGGCUUUGUAAGAGAGAAGCAGCCAUCAGAAGAAACAAGCAGGCAGAGGGAAAGACUCGGAGGCGGGAAGCACAUGUUCCUUAUAUCAGCACCUUCCCGUGUGUGUGUGUGUGUGUGUGUGUGUGUGUGUGUGUGUGUGUGUGUGUGUGUACACAUGCAUUGCUAGAAUUAUAAGCCUGUGCCAGCACACCACCUACGCCAUCUCCCAACCUCACGAACCAGCAUUUUGAUCGUGGCCUCCAUGCCCAGCACUGCAGUAGACUUCAAGUUAAUGAUCUAAUGUCUGUUUAUCAAAGUCUUCUGAAAGAGCCAUUUCAAGCACUGUGUGGACCAGGGUGGCCAAAGCCUGGCUGCUGGCUCGUGGUUUGUGCUCCUUUAACAUCUGUGGGUUGUCACUGCUGUGUCCUUUCAGACAACAGCAAAAAAAGGUGGCCUCUUCUGUUUUAAAACCUUUAUACAUACACAAAACAAAAACAAAAGCCACCUUUCCACCAGAUUACAAAACUCUAGGAAAUGUCUCAAGGGUGACCUUGAGCAAACUGCUGCCAUGUCCUCCUGGCCUGUGACACAGUUGGUGAGGACAAGUGCCUGUGUGGUUUAGAACACAGUGAUUUGAUUCUGAGCAAAAGGCAGCCCUUGGAGACUGAAGUAACUAACUCAGGCCCUCUGUGAACGCUGUGGCAGCGUACAGCUCACCCUACCAAGGUGUCAUUAUCUAAUGACAACCAAGGCAGAGAUGCUUCUCUGUGUAAUCUCACUAUGGCUUCUGCUCUCAGGAUCUACGGGAGGUGGUGAGUCUCGACAGACAUGAAUGAAGGAAGGGCCCGGGAGGAGUGGAAACUCUGCCUUGGAGUACUCUAUCUCUUGAACGCCUCUCUGAGCCUGCUUUAUUUUCCUGUGCCAGCCACCUCUAUUCUGUAAAGCAGACCUCCCUCUAAAGUCACUUAACCACAGGGGACCCCAACAGUGGAAUCCAGGAGACCCGCAUUAAGGUUCCGAUGAGCUCUGUGGCCAGUCCUGUCUUCUCUUCAGAGAACAGCCAGGAUGCUGACAGCUCAGUGUCCUAAGUCCACACUCAGCACUUCUCCAGUGACAGAGUCAGCAAGCGGGGCUCAUGUGGCCUGAAAUGUGCCUGUCUGCUAAAUGGAAGCAGAGAAUACCCCAGCAAUCUGUCACACCACCCAGUCCCCCAGCAUCUGCCCUCCGGACUCUGCUCAGGAGUGAGAUGUUUGCUUUAGGGUGUUUAUGUUGUUUGCUUGUUUUCAUCUUUAUUUGGGGUGGGGUGGUAUCACAGGAAUAGGGUAGAGGUCAGAGGACAGCGCUGGAGAAUCAGUUCUCUCCUUCCACCUUCACAUGGGUUCUGAGACUGGACGCAUGCUGCUAGCCAGUGCGGCUCCAUGUGUCUUUACCCACUGAGCCAUCUUGCUGGUCCAUUCUAGCAAUCCAGCCUUGCCUCCCAUCGGGCAGAAAGACCUGGACUCAGGUAGUCAGCGUGUGUUCAUCCUCCGUUUAGCUGUGAGCUUCGAGUAUGCAGUAAGACGAACCCUGAGAGGUUGUGAUUCUCGCUGUUCCCUGAAUGGGUCUGUGACUGAUUUCCGACCUUUCACUCGUCUGCCUGAUGGUACACGGUGAAAGAAUACAUACUAACCACCAUAAUAAAGUUGCCUUGGAGAUUAA
Molecule: long non-coding RNA, 3095 nt
Organism: Rattus rattus (black rat)
Lineage: Eukaryota; Metazoa; Chordata; Mammalia; Rodentia; Muridae
Exons: 2
Source: RefSeq, a predicted model, not a curated record